This 354-nucleotide unclassified non-coding RNA is filed under the name Hevea brasiliensis (rubber tree). Lineage: Eukaryota; Viridiplantae; Streptophyta; Magnoliopsida; Malpighiales; Euphorbiaceae. The record is from RNAcentral.
GGAUUCUAUGGAACUAGUGGAACUUGAGGAAUCAUCUAUAGAUGAUGAUGCUGAUGAGCAAGCUGUUGAGGAUGCUAGUGGAGAUUCUUUGGAGGUCAGUGGUGUAGGGAUUGAUGAUUUUGAGGUUCUGAAAGUUGUUGGGCAAGGUGCUUUUGGGAAAGUUUAUCAGGUUAGGAAGAAGGGUACAUCGGAAAUAUAUGCGAUGAAAGUCAUGCGGAAAGACAGGAUAGUGGAGAAGAAUCAUGUUGAGUACAUGAAAGCAGAGAGGGAUAUUCUGACAAAAAUAGAUCAUCCCUUCAUUGUCCAACUUAAAUACUCCUUCCAGACCAAAUAUAGAUUAUACCUUGUUUUGGA